This 28-nucleotide small RNA is filed under the name Bombyx mori (domestic silkworm). RNAcentral describes it as "ovarian small RNA-30566". The record is from RNAcentral. Lineage: Eukaryota; Metazoa; Arthropoda; Insecta; Lepidoptera; Bombycidae.
UGAAAUCAGCACAUCGCAAAAAGUGAGA